GUCUCUGUGGCUCAGUUGGAAGAGCGUUGGUCUCAUAUUUUCAUGAAUAUGACUCGUGCAGCAAGCCAGGGACAUCCAAAGGUCGCAAGUUCGAGCCUUGCCAGGGACA
Molecule: transfer RNA, 109 nt
Filed under: Colletotrichum tofieldiae
Lineage: Eukaryota; Fungi; Ascomycota; Sordariomycetes; Glomerellales; Glomerellaceae
Rfam family: tRNA
About the family: Transfer RNA (tRNA) molecules are approximately 80 nucleotides in length. Their secondary structure includes four short double-helical elements and three loops (D, anti-codon, and T loops). Further hydrogen bonds mediate the characteristic L-shaped molecular structure. tRNAs have two regions of fundamental functional importance: the anti-codon, which is responsible for specific mRNA codon recognition, and the 3' end, to which the tRNAs corresponding amino acid is attached (by aminoacyl-tRNA synthetases). tRNAs cope with the degeneracy of the genetic code in two manners: having more than one tRNA (with a specific anti-codon) for a particular amino acid; and 'wobble' base-pairing, i.e. permitting non-standard base-pairing at the 3rd anti-codon position.
Source: Rfam by way of RNAcentral